AACUAUGUUAUGACGCAUGCUCCUUCCGUCAAGGAACAAUCAAGCUCCGACAAGCACUGAGAGUGUUUUACAUAUUUCGAGUUUGAUUUGCAUAAAAAUAAUUUGAUAUGCUCUUCUUGUUUGCUGGAUCAUUUUUUAGAAGGUUAUAACUUUUAA
Hibiscus syriacus is the source of this 156-nucleotide long non-coding RNA. RefSeq lists it as uncharacterized. The transcript has 3 exons. The record is from RefSeq and is a predicted model, not a curated record. NCBI's taxonomy places the organism in Eukaryota, Viridiplantae, Streptophyta, Magnoliopsida, Malvales, Malvaceae.